AAACAACUCUCGGCAACGGAUAUCUUGGCUCACGCAUCGAUGAAGAACGUAGCAAAAUGCGAUACUUGGUGUGAAUUGCAGAAUCCCGUGAACCAUCGAGUUUUUGAACGCAAGUUGCGCCCGAAGCCACUUGGUUGAGGGCACGUCUGCCUGGGUGUCACGCUU
This 165-nucleotide ribosomal RNA is filed under the name Mikania ternata. RNAcentral's name for it is "5.8S ribosomal RNA". It matches the Rfam family "5.8S ribosomal RNA". Rfam says of the family: 5.8S ribosomal RNA (5.8S rRNA) is a component of the large subunit of the eukaryotic ribosome. It is transcribed by RNA polymerase I as part of the 45S precursor that also contains 18S and 28S rRNA. Functionally, it is thought that 5.8S rRNA may be involved in ribosome translocation. Lineage: Eukaryota; Viridiplantae; Streptophyta; Magnoliopsida; Asterales; Asteraceae. The record is from RNAcentral.